Molecule: ribosomal RNA, 464 nt
Filed under: uncultured bacterium
Lineage: Bacteria
Description: partial 16S ribosomal RNA
Rfam family: Bacterial small subunit ribosomal RNA
Source: RNAcentral
GACGAACGCUGGCGGCGUGCUUAACACAUGCAAGUCGAACGGAAAGGCCCUGCUUGCCGGGUACUCGAGUGGCGAACGGGUGAGUAACACGUGGGUGAUCUGCCCUUCACUUCGGGAUAAGCCUGGGAAACUGGGUCUAAUACCGGAUAGGCGCCAUUUUUAGUGUGAUGGUUGGAAAGUUUUUUCGGUGUAGGAUGAGCUCGCGGCCUAUCAGCUUGUUGGUGGGGUAAUGGCCUACCAAGGCGGCGACGGGUAGCCGGCCUGAGAGGGUGGACGGCCACAUUGGGACUGAGAGACGGCCCAGACUCCUACGGGAGGCAGCAGUGGGGAAUAUUGCACAAUGGGCGCAAGCCUGAUGCAGCGACGCCGCGUGGGGGAUGACGGCCUUCGGGUUGUAAACUGCUUUCGCUAGGGACGAAGCUUUUUGUGACGGUACCGAGAUAAGAAGCACCGGCAAACUACGU